GGCAGGAUAGCUCAGUGCUGAGAGCACAGACUCUGGACCCAGAGUCCCUGGGUUGGAAUCCUGGCUCUGCCA
This 72-nucleotide transfer RNA is filed under the name Myotis brandtii (Brandt's bat). It matches the Rfam family "tRNA". Rfam says of the family: Transfer RNA (tRNA) molecules are approximately 80 nucleotides in length. The record is from Rfam by way of RNAcentral. Lineage: Eukaryota; Metazoa; Chordata; Mammalia; Chiroptera; Vespertilionidae.